Molecule: ribosomal RNA, 392 nt
Filed under: uncultured bacterium
Lineage: Bacteria
Description: bacterial SSU rRNA
Rfam family: Bacterial small subunit ribosomal RNA
Source: RNAcentral
AGUGAACGCUGGCGGCAGGCCUAACACAUGCAAGUCGAACGGCAGCACAGCGCUAGCAAUAGCGUGGGUGGCGAGUGGCGGACGGGUGAGGAAUACGAUCGGAAUCUACCUUGUCGUGGGGGAUAACGUAGGGAAACUUACGCUAAUACCGCAUACGAACUAUGGUUGAAAGCGGCGGACCGCAAGGCGUCGCGCGAUUGGAUGAGCCGAUGUCCGAUUAGCAGGUUGGCGGGGUAAAGGCCACCAAGGCGACGAUCGGUAGCUGGUCUGAGAGGAUGAUCAGCCACACUGGAACUGAGACACGGUCCAGACUCCUACGGGAGGCAGCAGUGGGGAAUAUUGGACAAUGGGGCAACCCUGAUCCAGCCAUGCCGCGUGUGUGAAGAAGGCCU